UACAGAGGGUGCAAGCGUUGUUCGGAAUUAUUGGGCGUAAAGAGCGUGUAGGCGGCCAGACAGGUCCGUUGUGAAAACUCGAGGCUCAACCUCGAGAUGUCGAUGGAAACCGUCUGGCUAGAGUCCGGAAGAGGAGUGUGGAAUUCCUGGUGUAGCGGUGAAAUGCGCAGAUAUCAGGAAGAACACCUAUGGCGAAGGCAGCACUCUGGGACGGUACUGACGCUGAGACGCGAAAGCGUGGGGAGCGAACAGG
This 253-nucleotide ribosomal RNA is filed under the name uncultured bacterium. Its description in RNAcentral is "partial 16S ribosomal RNA". It matches the Rfam family "Bacterial small subunit ribosomal RNA", at positions 524 to 776 of the family's 1533-position model. The record is from RNAcentral.